GAUGAACGCUGGCGGCGUGCCUAAUACAUGCAAGUCGAGCGAACGGACGAGAAGCUUGCUUUUCUGAUGUUAGCGGCGGACGGGUGAGUAACACGUGGAUAACCUACCUAUAAGACUGGGAUAACUUCGGGAAACGGAACCAAUACCGGGUAAUUAUUUUAACCGCCAUGUUCAAAAGUGAAAAAAGGUCUUUCUGUUACCUAUUGAAUGAACCGCGCUGCAUUAGCUAGUUGGUAAGGUAACGGCUCACCAGGGCAACGAUGCAUAGCCGACCUGAGAGGGUGAUCGGCCACACUGGAACUGAGACACGGUCCAGACUCCUACGGGAGGCAGCAGUAGGGAAUCUUCCGCAAUGGGCGAAAGCCUGACGGAGCAACGCCGCGUGAGUGAUGAAGGUCUUCGGAUCGUAAAACUCUGUUAUUAGGGAAGAACAUAUGUGUAAGUAACUGUGCACAUCUUGACGGUACCUAAUCAGAAAGCCACGGCUAACUACGUG
RNAcentral lists this ribosomal RNA (496 nucleotides) under uncultured bacterium. RNAcentral describes it as "partial 16S ribosomal RNA". It matches the Rfam family "Bacterial small subunit ribosomal RNA", at positions 28 to 507 of the family's 1533-position model. The record is from RNAcentral.